CCUCGGGUGGCAGCAGUGGGGAAUAUUGGGCAAUGGACGCAAGUCUGACCCAGCAACGCCGCGUGAAGGAAGAAGGCUUUCGGGUUGUAAACUUCUUUUAAGGGGGAAGAGCAGAAGACGGUACCCCUUGAAUAAGCCACGGCUAACUACGUGCCAGCAGCCGCGGUAAUACGUAGGUGGCAAGCGUUGUCCGGAUUUACUGGGUGUAAAGGGCGUGCAGCCGGAGAGACAAGUCAGAUGUGAAAUCCACGGGCUCAACCCGUGAACUGCAUUUGAAACUGUUGGUCUUGAGUAUCGGAGAGGCAGGCGGAAUUCCUAGUGUAGCGGUGAAAUGCGUAGAUAUUAGGAGGAACACCAGUGGCGAAGGCGGCCUGCUGGACGACAACUGACGGUGAGGCGCGAAAGCGUGGGGAGCAAACAGGAUUAGAUACCCUUGUAGUC
Molecule: ribosomal RNA, 441 nt
Filed under: uncultured bacterium
Lineage: Bacteria
Description: partial 16S ribosomal RNA
Rfam family: Bacterial small subunit ribosomal RNA
Source: RNAcentral